This 102-nucleotide microRNA precursor is filed under the name Marmota monax (woodchuck). The record is from RNAcentral. Lineage: Eukaryota; Metazoa; Chordata; Mammalia; Rodentia; Sciuridae.
AGAGGAAUAGCUGGGUCAAAUAGUGGUUCCAUUCCAACUUUCCAAGGAAUCUCCAUACUGCUUUCCAAAUUGGCUGGACUAAUUUGCAGUCCCACCAGCAGU